Solanum dulcamara is the source of this 616-nucleotide long non-coding RNA. RefSeq lists it as uncharacterized. The record is from RefSeq and is a predicted model, not a curated record. The transcript has 2 exons. NCBI's taxonomy places the organism in Eukaryota, Viridiplantae, Streptophyta, Magnoliopsida, Solanales, Solanaceae.
GAGUGCACAUGGGACACCAGUAGUACUAGAUAAUAUAAUUUUGAUAGAAAGAGUUUUAUAAUUUAAACAAUUUUAUAAGCCUAUAUAUAUGUGUGAUUUUCCAUCAAGGAAGAAAAUGAACUCAACAAUGGCAAAGAUGUUCCUAUCUCACAAGCUCUCUUUCUUCUUUUGUAUUCUCCUUGUUUCACUUGUUGUUAAUUCAUUUUGGUUCUCAAACACUCAUCAAGUGAUGGCUUUAAGAAACAUACAUUUUGAAGAAGAACUACAAGUGAUUGAGCAAAUAAUAAAGCCUUAUGUAUCUUCAUGUGGCAAAUCUUGUACAUCUCAUGAAUAUUGCCAAACUUUUAAAGGUUCACCAUGUACACAAUGUCGAUUGUUGACUAAAAAGUCCACGUCAUGGAGAUGCUAUAGGUGGAAAUAAUCCGACGCUAUAAAAAAAAAAUACUGAAAUUAGCUACGAUGGAAUUUCCACUAGUCCGUGGAAGAGGCAUCAACAACUUGCUAUGUGUCUUUAUGUGUUUAUGUCGUUUACUUCUUUUUUUUUUUAAGUUGUGUCUCGUAUCAGUUUGUUUGAAUAAUUCGUUGCUAAUAUAAUAUUUUGAUAUUUUGUCGUUAA